UUGAGGUUUGCGUAUGUACAUAGUUUACUCUCGUAAUCUCGUUGCUCUGUUUUACAUUAACGGUGAGAUUGCGAUCUCUGCUGUCCAAGCUCACUUCAAUCCUGAAUUACGUUUACUCUUGGCCUGGAAUAUAUACUCUUGUUCCUAUAUCUCAUUACAGUCUUCAGCGCUCUAUACAGGUCUCGCGGGAUUUCCUACAGCCUCCAUCUCCAGUUAUAGUUUAUAUUGUCUAAAGGAUGUAGUUCCUGUGUGUUUUUCGUGUUUUUCCAGCAGUACUCCACUCCAACAGAUCGUUCAUUAUGGUGUGAUUUCACAUUAGUUUGACAACCGCGUCAAACUAAUGUGAAAUCACAUCAAGGUUUCCUGCGAGAUGAAUGUACCUCUAAUGCCACAUAUUUGCCAACCUUUAAGAAAAAGUCUGAAGCGCGAUCGUGUGGGUAAGGUGUUUGGCCUGGUUGCUGGCGCUUUUAGGUGAUCUUGCGCAUCCACACACUUGUCAAAUAUCAAAAAACCGCCUUAACACAAACGUUUGAAUAAGGGGUUUGGCUCGGUAGUUUAGAGUUUCCCAGGAGGAAAGAAUGCUUCAAAA
This 589-nucleotide long non-coding RNA is filed under the name Hermetia illucens (black soldier fly). RNAcentral's name for it is "uncharacterized LOC119646784, transcript variant X2". Lineage: Eukaryota; Metazoa; Arthropoda; Insecta; Diptera; Stratiomyidae. The record is from RNAcentral.